Oncorhynchus mykiss (rainbow trout) is the source of this 1580-nucleotide long non-coding RNA. The record is from Ensembl. NCBI's taxonomy places the organism in Eukaryota, Metazoa, Chordata, Actinopteri, Salmoniformes, Salmonidae.
AUACGGAAGAAUGCCUAGCUAUUCUGGUGGUCAAAUAAUUGCACCUUCACUGUCAUGGAAGGGAUGCAUCCGAGGGUUCAUGGCAAACGGCAAUCCAUGUAAAUCAUGGAGAAAAGGAGUGGGAAACCAAGAAAACAUUGAAAUUAGCAAAAAUAUAACAACAUCUAUUUUAGUCUUGCUGGCACCGACGCCUGGCAGCUGCGCUACAGUGCUGUUCAGGCUUUGGUGUAAGUAUGCUGAGGGCUCAGCGGAGCCGUGUUGCAGGAAGGGCUAAGGAAUGUGGCCUGGAUCGCUCUGCAGGAACACCUGAGCCAAGAAACAGACCAGAGAGUCCGAGACACCCCCAGGGUUCUAGAGGUACUAAAUUGUACAUACUGAGUGUGUGUUGUCUAAGGUUUUCCUGGUCAUGUCACAUGGUCAAGAAGUACUCUGGGCCUUAUCUCAAAUGUCAACUUACUCUCAAAUAAAAGAGAUGUCUGACUUUUAAUAUCCAACCGCUGUGUUGUCACAACAACUGCCUUUCCCUUUACAAAGCAUUGGCUAAUUCGCAAACAGAUCUGGUUACCAGAUUAGAGCUGAAUCAAGUCGUUAGGAAAGUCCUAAUUUGUCACAGUCUGUAGUAUGGCAGAUUCUGGAAACGAAUAUAUAGCCUACACUGUCAUGGUGUUGCACUAAUAAAAAGUUUAAAUAUUGAGGAACAAGACUACAAUAGACAGCUCAAACCAACCACUCGUCUUUUUACAGCUUGUCUCUCAGCAGGAAGAGGUGGUGUUACACCUGGGACUGCUGGCUGACAUCGUUUUAUACGCAGUACCAACUGGGAAGACAAUGCCAGGGCACCUGGUACAUGUCAUACUCCUGACAGUCUGCCUGAGCCUACAGCACAACACAGAUUACAUGGGGAAAGCAUCAGGAUGUAGCUACGGGAUAUUCAAACAUUAAACACCUGCACAGAUGGCAUGAUGCCCUUAUAUUAGUCUCCUCGAUAAGUAAUGUGUUAUUGUGGCAUAGUGCAACGCUACAGAUGUGAACUUCAGUGAACUUGAAUACACUUUGCUGAUGAUAAGGUUAAACUAAUCAUAAACCAAAUACAUUUUGGGGAAAGAAUUCAUAUUAUUCCACUUAGCAGACACCUAUCCAAAGCAACUGACAGUCCAGUUAGUGUAUAGCUUUUUCGUAUGUAUGUGAAUCCAUGACCUUGGUGCACUCGUACAAACUGAUCAACACAUGACCGAAGUAAAUAUUUUAGGUUUGUUAGAAUAGUCAUGGAACUCUUACUGGUGCUGAAUCAUCUUGAAAAGGUCCCAGUCCACAAAUAAUCUACCCUGGAUGUAACAUGAAGUGCACUGAGACCAGUAUGUUAGGAUAUGGUUGUUAGCAUGACUCACACUGAGACAAAGCUAAAAGAGAAACAGAAGUUUACAGACGUCUUUUAAUGUUUUUCAACAACAACACAAUUUACACCCAUUAGUUGCACGUACGUGCACACACACACCCAAGAACACAUGUAUUUUUCUUCAAUGCGGUUUGAAAUUGAGGUCCGUUUCUUUGAGUAGAAAAAACAAUUAGUCAUGUUAAAA